GGGGAAUUUUGGACAAUGGGGGCAACCCUGAUCCAGCCAUGCCGCGUGAGUGAAGAAGGCCUUCGGGUUGUAAAGCUCUUUCGGCCGGGAAGAAAUCGCAUAGGUUAAUACCCUGUGUGGAUGACGGUACCGGAAUAAGAAGCACCGGCUAACUACGUGCCAGCAGCCRCGGUAAUACGUAGGGUGCGAGCGUUAAUCGGAAUUACUGGGCGUAAAGCGUGCGCAGGCGGUUUCGUAAGACAGAGGUGAAAUCCCCGGGCUCAACCUGGGAACUGCCUUUGUGACUGCGAAGCUAGAGUACGGCAGAGGGGGGUGGAAUUCCACGUGUAGCAGUGAAAUGCGUAGAGAUGUGGAGGAACACCGAUGGCGAAGGCAGCCCCCUGGGCCGAUACUGACGCUCAUGCACGAAAGCGUGGGUAGCAAACAGGAUUAGAUACCCUGGUAGUCCACGCCCUAAACGAUGUCAACUAGGUGUUGGGUGGGUAAAACCAUUUAGUACCGUAGCUAACGCGUGAAGUUGACCGCCUGGGGAGUACGGCCGCAAGGUUAAAACUCAAAGGAAUUGACGGAAGGGCGAAUU
Molecule: ribosomal RNA, 580 nt
Filed under: uncultured bacterium
Lineage: Bacteria
Description: bacterial SSU rRNA
Rfam family: Bacterial small subunit ribosomal RNA
Source: RNAcentral